Molecule: RNase P RNA, 404 nt
Filed under: Chlorobiota bacterium
Lineage: Bacteria; Pseudomonadati; Chlorobiota
Description: RNase P RNA component class A
Rfam family: Bacterial RNase P class A
About the family: Ribonuclease P (RNase P) is a ubiquitous endoribonuclease, found in archaea, bacteria and eukarya as well as chloroplasts and mitochondria. Its best characterised activity is the generation of mature 5'-ends of tRNAs by cleaving the 5'-leader elements of precursor-tRNAs.
Source: RNAcentral
CGGGAGGUCCGUGCAGCCGCGCCGGCUCGACCGGUGAGGAAAGUCCGGACACCACCACGCAGCGUGCUCGAUAACGUCGAGGCGGCGAUGCCCCAAGGCAAAGCCGACGGAAAGUGCCACAGAAACGACACCGCCGCUGCCCUUCGGGGCUGCGGUAAGGGUGAAAUGGUGCGGUAAGAGCGCACCGCACACGUGGCGACACGUGUGGCAGGGCAAACCCCACGCGGUGCAAGACCGAGCAGAUGCGUUCGUCCUGUGCGUGGCAGGCGCUUCCUAAUCAGGAAGCACGCAUCGGGUAGGUCGCACAAGAGGCGCGCAGCAAUGCGUCGUCCAAGGUUCAUGGCUGCACGUGCUCGGCUCACUCCGGGCACCGACAGAAUCCGGCUUACAGGACCUUUCGCCUG